UACGUAGGGUGCGAGCGUUAAUCGGAAUUACUGGGCGUAAAGUGUGCGCAGGCGGCAGAGCAAGUCGAGUGUGAAAGCCCCGGGCUUAACUUGGGAAUUGCGCUCGAAACUACUUUGCUGGAGUGUGGCAGAGGAAGGUGGAAUUCCACGUGUAGCGGUGAAAUGCGCAGAUAUCAGGAGGAACACCGAUUGCGAAGGCAGCUCGCUGGGACGUAACUGACGCUGAGACGCGAAAGCGUGGGGAGCAAACAGG
Molecule: ribosomal RNA, 253 nt
Filed under: uncultured bacterium
Lineage: Bacteria
Description: partial 16S ribosomal RNA
Rfam family: Bacterial small subunit ribosomal RNA
Source: RNAcentral